RNAcentral lists this ribosomal RNA (467 nucleotides) under uncultured bacterium. Its description in RNAcentral is "partial 16S ribosomal RNA". It matches the Rfam family "Bacterial small subunit ribosomal RNA", at positions 28 to 507 of the family's 1533-position model. The record is from RNAcentral.
GAUGAACGCUGGCGGCGUGCUUAACACAUGCAAGUCGAACGGAAAGGCCCAAGCUUGCUUGGGUACUCGAGUGGCGAACGGGUGAGUAACACGUGGGUGAUCUGCCCUGCACUUCGGGAUAAGCCUGGGAAACUGGGUCUAAUACCGGAUAGGACCACUUCUUGGAUGUUGUGGUGGAAAGUUUUUUCGGUGUGGGAUGAGCUCGCGGCCUAUCAGCUUGUUGGUGGGGUAAUGGCCUACCAAGGCGUCGACGGGUAGCCGGCCUGAGAGGGUGUACGGCCACAUUGGGACUGAGAUACGGCCCAGACUCCUACGGGAGGCAGCAGUGGGGAAUAUUGCACAAUGGGCGCAAGACUGAUGCAGCGACGCCGCGUGGGGGAUGACGGCCUUCGGGUUGUAAACUCCUUUCGCUAGGGACGAAGCGUUUUGUGACGGUACCUGGAGAAGAAGCACCGGCUAACUACGUG